Molecule: transfer RNA, 76 nt
Filed under: Victivallaceae bacterium
Lineage: Bacteria; Pseudomonadati; Lentisphaerota; Lentisphaeria; Victivallales; Victivallaceae
Also listed under: 1 other name
Description: tRNA-Arg
Rfam family: tRNA
About the family: Transfer RNA (tRNA) molecules are approximately 80 nucleotides in length. Their secondary structure includes four short double-helical elements and three loops (D, anti-codon, and T loops).
Source: RNAcentral
GCUCCGGUAGCUCAGCGGAUAGAGCAGCUGCCUUCUAAGCAGUUGGUCGUGGGUUCAAUUCCCGCCCGGGGUACCA